AGAACGAACGCUGGCGGCAUGCCUAACACAUGCAAGUCGAACGAGACCUUCGGGUCUAGUGGCGCACGGGUGCGUAACGCGUGGGAAUCUGCCCUUGGGUUCGGAAUAACAGCGAGAAAUUGCUGCUAAUACCGGAUGAUGACGUAAGUCCAAAGAUUUAUCGCCCAAGGAUGAGCCCGCGUAGGAUUAGCUUGUUGGUGAGGUAAGAGCUCACCAAGGCGACGAUCCUUAGCUGGUCUGAGAGGAUGAUCAGCCACACUGGGACUGAGACACGGCCCAGACUCCUACGGGAGGCAGCAGUGGGGAAUAUUGGACAAUGGGCAAGCCUGAUCCA
RNAcentral lists this ribosomal RNA (334 nucleotides) under uncultured soil bacterium. RNAcentral's name for it is "bacterial SSU rRNA". It matches the Rfam family "Bacterial small subunit ribosomal RNA", at positions 26 to 390 of the family's 1533-position model. The record is from RNAcentral.